RNAcentral lists this long non-coding RNA (726 nucleotides) under Capra hircus (goat). Its description in RNAcentral is "lncRNA (ENSCHIG00000003864.1)". Lineage: Eukaryota; Metazoa; Chordata; Mammalia; Artiodactyla; Bovidae. The record is from RNAcentral.
AGAUCAUGUCGAAGAGAUUUCCGUACAACGGCAUUAACUAGAUCUAUCAUCCAGCAACUCAAAGCAAGAAGCUACUUACUGACAGAAUCAAGGAACCUGCUGGACGAGGCCUUGUGUGACUCUACCCAGGCUUGUCCUUCUGAAGUCUGGCUCUGGGCACCUAGCAAGCGAGGACGCAUCCUUGCAGACACUUCCUGGACCCAACGGACCCAACAAUGAGAGUCACACGGUGUCUCUAAUUUGUCCUGGGGGCUGGCAAAGAGCGAGAAGUGGGACUCUUGUACCAGAAGAGGUGAAGGGCAGUAACAACUGAGGCCCUGCUUACGGAGGGAACUGCACUGCACCUCCCGGAGUCUGCCUUUUUCCGGAAGUCCAGGAUACCAGGCCGAAGCAGUAGGAUACAGGAGCUGCCAGAAGCAAAGAUCAGCAAGGCUAUAAAAGGACAAACAACCCAAGGCAAUCACCCUACAGAUGCUUAUCACAUCAGACCAACCAGCAAUCACAAAUUCAUAUUCAGAGAGAAGCCAAGAGACUACUCCUUAAUUCUCUAGGCAUGAAUACUGGAGUGGGUUUCCAUGCACUCCUCCAGAGGAUCUUCCUCACCCAGGGAUGGAUCCCAUGUCUCUUAUGUCUGCUGAAUUGGCAGGUGGGUUCUUCACCACUAGUGCCACUUGGGAAAGCUCUUAUUAUUUAUUAAACCUGCAAAAAUUCAUUUCAAAGGAUCAA